Molecule: ribosomal RNA, 385 nt
Filed under: uncultured bacterium
Lineage: Bacteria
Description: bacterial SSU rRNA
Rfam family: Bacterial small subunit ribosomal RNA
Source: RNAcentral
GUAAAGCACUUUCAGUCGUGAGGAAGGUAGUGUAGUUAAUAGCUGCAUUAUUUGACGUUAGCGACAGAAGAAAGCACCGGCUAACUCCGUGCCAGCAGCCGCGGUAAUACGGAGGGUGCGAGCGUUAAUCGGAAUUACUGGCGUAAAGACGCAUGCAGGUGGUUUGUUAAGUCAGAUGUGAAAGACCCGGGGCGUCAACCUCGGAAUUGCAUUUGUAAACUAGGCAGACUAGAGUACUGUAGAGGGGGGUAGGAAUUUCUAGGUGUAGCGGUGAAAUAGCGUAGAGAUCUGAAGGAAUACCGGUGGCGAAGGCGGCCCCCUCGGACAGAUACUGACACUCAGAUGCGAAAGCGUGGGGAGCAAACAGGAUUAGAUACCCUGGUAG